Malaya genurostris is the source of this 813-nucleotide long non-coding RNA. RefSeq lists it as uncharacterized. Lineage: Eukaryota; Metazoa; Arthropoda; Insecta; Diptera; Culicidae. The record is from RefSeq and is a predicted model, not a curated record. The transcript has 3 exons.
AUUAUUCUAAAAAGAUAUCUUGAAGAAACCUAAAAGUUUAAUAUAAGAAAAAUAGUUUUCUACUAUCAGGUAUCAAAACGAAUACGAAUUUAAGUUUUCAUCUUGUAGAAUUCGUGGCUCCAGUUUUAGUUCACAAUAAUGAUGAAAUGCAUAGUUCCUGGAUGCCGCUCGAAGGAAAAUAAAUCCAGAGCUAAUUUCUAUAACGUCCCGUCAACCGGUUACAGCGUGUUCAGAGAAAGGAAAAAGUUUUUGAAUUUAUCUGAAUUUAGAACAGAAAAAAUUUGCAGGCGUCAUUUCACUGUUAAAGAUUUUAAUAUUCAUAAUCGUAUCGAAUUGAAAGAUGAUGCUAUUCCGUCAUUAAGAAUUCCACAGAGUGGUCCGAAGGUAGAUAUAGAAGGAGCUUGCUGUGUUUUUCGAUGCGGAACAAAAAAUAGUAAGAAAUUGCGAAAGUUUCCAUCACGGAAGGCUAUUUUGAAUAGAUGGUUGCAAACAUUAGAAAUAGGAGAACAUGUUACAACUAAGCUUAAAAUUUGUUUGCGGCAUUUUACUGUCAACGAUUACGUUAAAGUUACGAGGAGAUACCUAAAACCAAGCGCUAUCCCAUCAAAACAUAUGAAAAAACUUGUCAAAUAUCCCAAACGAUUUCAACGUGCUAAAGUACCGCCUUCACAUUUAUGGGAUCACAACUACUGUGUGUACUAUAGAACUCGUCUUACUACGAAUCGAGUAUGUUACGUUAUGGGUUGUUCUUCGAGAGCAUGCAAAGGAAUUUCUUUACAUAAAUUUCCAAUAAAAAAUAAUUCACUUUUUAAA